GACGAACGCUGGCGGCGUGCUUAACACAUGCAAGUCGAACGGAAAGGCCCCUUUGGGGGUACUCGAGUGGCGAACGGGUGCGUAACACGUGAGUAACCUGCCCUUUACUUCGGGAUAACUUCAGGAAACUGGGGCUAAUACCGGAUAGAAAUCAUUGCUGCAUGGUGGGGGUUGGAAAGCUUCGGCGGUUUUGGAUGGACUCGCGGCCUAUCAGCUUGUUGGUGGGGUAGUGGCUUACCAAGGCUCUGACGGGUAGCCGGCCUGUGAGGGCGACAGGCCACAUUGGGACUGAGAGGCGGCCCAGACUCCUACGGGAGGCAGCAGUGGGGAAGAUUGCACAAUGGGCGGAAGCCUGAUGCAGCAACGCCGCGUGCGGGAUGACGGCCUUCGGGUUGUAAAACGCUUUCAGCAGGGGCGAAGCUUGUGGUGACGGUACCUGCAGAAGAAGCACCGGCUAACUACGUG
RNAcentral lists this ribosomal RNA (465 nucleotides) under uncultured bacterium. RNAcentral describes it as "partial 16S ribosomal RNA". It matches the Rfam family "Bacterial small subunit ribosomal RNA", at positions 28 to 507 of the family's 1533-position model. The record is from RNAcentral.